This is a microRNA precursor of Cricetulus griseus (Chinese hamster), 81 nucleotides long. Lineage: Eukaryota; Metazoa; Chordata; Mammalia; Rodentia; Cricetidae. The record is from Ensembl.
GUUUAUUUUGGGAGUGUUUGCUGUAUAAUUGGACUUCAUAAAAAUGUUUAGAAGUGCAGUAGGCAUGACUUGAGUAGAUAA